AGAGGCUAAUGGUAGUACCCGGCACUAUUUGACCUAACUAUUCGUUGUAGGGCAUAUUAGGGAUGACACAAGAGGGAGGCUAGUGGUAGUACCUCGUGCCCUUUUCCAACUACAUCGGAUAGGGGGCAAAUAGAGCAUCAAAAUGUCUCUCUUUGGGUUGAGAGAUUUCUAACUUGUAACUUUUCUUUGUAUCAACCCACCCUUGGAAAAUUUGGAGGAGAUUGAGUGGUGUACAACCCAUUUUCAUAUUAAAAAAAGGAGGGCCGGAUCAUCCCUUGGGUGACGGCCAAAGGAGGUUUGGAGUUGUGAUUUGUGACGAAGGCUUGAAGCUUUAGAAGGAAGUUCGGCACACCUUAGCCGAACCAUUGAAGAUCUCUCCAACACCUGGGCCGAAAUAAGGAGAAAGAACAAAGUCCGCCUUGAGAGGUUGGGAAGGAGGCUAGGGGAAAGAGAAAGGGAGAGGAAGCAUGUGAGGUAUAGUGAAGAAGAGCCAUGGUCACAUGCCUCUCGGCAAAGCCUAGCAAGGGGAAGAAGGGAGAGUGAAGCCGGAAGCUUACAUGCUAACCGGUAUGAAGAGUUUGGGCAUCAUAAAAAUG
RNAcentral lists this long non-coding RNA (596 nucleotides) under Phoenix dactylifera (date palm). Its description in RNAcentral is "long non-coding RNA (PDAC_LNC006280)". The record is from RNAcentral. Lineage: Eukaryota; Viridiplantae; Streptophyta; Magnoliopsida; Arecales; Arecaceae.